RNAcentral lists this ribosomal RNA (426 nucleotides) under Staphylococcus epidermidis. Its description in RNAcentral is "bacterial SSU rRNA". It matches the Rfam family "Bacterial small subunit ribosomal RNA", at positions 1106 to 1533 of the family's 1533-position model. The record is from RNAcentral. Lineage: Bacteria; Bacillati; Bacillota; Bacilli; Caryophanales; Staphylococcaceae.
UUAAGUUAGUUGCCAUCAUUAAGUUGGGCACUCUAAGUUGACUGCCGGUGACAAACCGGAGGAAGGUGGGGAUGACGUCAAAUCAUCAUGCCCCUUAUGAUUUGGGCUACACACGUGCUACAAUGGACAAUACAAAGGGUAGCGAAACCGCGAGGUCAAGCAAAUCCCAUAAAGUUGUUCUCAGUUCGGAUUGUAGUCUGCAACUCGACUAUAUGAAGCUGGAAUCGCUAGUAAUCGUAGAUCAGCAUGCUACGGUGAAUACGUUCCCGGGUCUUGUACACACCGCCCGUCACACCACGAGAGUUUGUAACACCCGAAGCCGGUGGAGUAACCAUUUGGAGCUAGCCGUCGAAGGUGGGACAAAUGAUUGGGGUGAAGUCGUAACAAGGUAGCCGUAUCGGAAGGUGCGGCUGGAUCACCUCCUUU